RNAcentral lists this ribosomal RNA (253 nucleotides) under uncultured bacterium. RNAcentral's name for it is "partial 16S ribosomal RNA". It matches the Rfam family "Bacterial small subunit ribosomal RNA", at positions 524 to 776 of the family's 1533-position model. The record is from RNAcentral.
UACGUAGGGUGCAAGCGUUAAUCGGAAUUACUGGGCGUAAAGCGUGCGCAGGCGGUGAUGUAAGACAGAUGUGAAAUCCCCGGGCUCAACCUGGGAACUGCAUUUGUGACUGCAUCGCUGGAGUACGGCAGAGGGGGAUGGAAUUCCGCGUGUAGCAGUGAAAUGCGUAGAUAUGCGGAGGAACACCGAUGGCGAAGGCAAUCCCCUGGGCCUGUACUGACGCUCAUACACGAAAGCGUGGGGAGCAAACAGG